Molecule: ribosomal RNA, 253 nt
Filed under: uncultured bacterium
Lineage: Bacteria
Description: partial 16S ribosomal RNA
Rfam family: Bacterial small subunit ribosomal RNA
Source: RNAcentral
UACGUAGGUGGCGAGCGUUGUCCGGAUUUACUGGGCGUAAAGAGCGCGCAGGCGGCUGGUCAAGUCCGAUGUGAAAGCUCCCGGCUUAACUGGGAAAUUGCAUCGGAAACUGAUCGGCUGGAAGGUGGGAGAGGGUAGCGGAAUUCCCGGUGUAGUGGUGAAAUGCGUAGAUAUCGGGAGGAACAACUGCGGUGUAGACAGCUUACUGGACCACUUCUGACGCUGAGACACGAAAGCGUGGGUAGCAAACAGG